UGAAGAGGGAAACAACCCAGACCGCCAGCUAAGGUCCCAAAGUCAUGGUUAAGUGGGAAACGAUGUGGGAAGGCCCAGACAGCCAGGAUGUUGGCUUAGAAGCAGCCAUCAUUUAAAGAAAGCGUAAUAGCUCACUGGUCGAGUCGGCCUGCGCGGAAGAUGUAACGGGGCUAAACCAUGCACCGAAGCUGCGGCAGCGACACUGUGUGUUGUUGGGUAGGGGAGCGUUCUGUAAGCCUGUGAAGGUGUGUCGUGAGGCAUGCUGGAGGUAUCAGAAGUGCGAAUGCUGACAUAAGUAACGAUAAAGCGGGUGAAAAGCCCGCUCGCCGGAAGACCAAGGGUUCCUGUCCAACGUUAAUCGGGGCAGGGUGAGUCGACCCCUAAGGCGAGGCCGAAAGGCGUAGUCGAUGGGAAACGGGUUAAUAUUCCCGUACUUGGUGUUACUGCGAAGGGGGGACGGAGAAGGCUAUGUUGGCCGGGCGACGGUUGUCCCGGUUUAAGCGUGUAGGUGUGUGUUCCAGGUAAAUCCGGUUCACUUUAACACUGAGGCGUGAUGACGAGGCACUACGGUGCUGAAGCAACAAAUGCCCUGCUUCCAGGAAAAGCCUCUAAGCAUCAGGUAACAUCAAAUCGUACCCCAAACCGACACAGGUGGUCAGGUAGAGAAUACCAAGGCGCUUGAGAGAACUCGGGUGAAGGAACUAGGCAAAAUGGUGCCGUAACUUCGGGAG
RNAcentral lists this ribosomal RNA (731 nucleotides) under Salmonella enterica subsp. enterica serovar Newport. RNAcentral's name for it is "bacterial LSU rRNA". It matches the Rfam family "Bacterial large subunit ribosomal RNA", at positions 1011 to 1742 of the family's 2925-position model. The record is from RNAcentral. Lineage: Bacteria; Pseudomonadati; Pseudomonadota; Gammaproteobacteria; Enterobacterales; Enterobacteriaceae.